ACGCUAGCUAUAGGCUUAACACAUGCAAGUCGAGGGGAAACGGCAUUAUGUGCUUGCACAUUUUGGACGUCGACCGGCGCACGGGUGAGUAUCGCGUAUCCAACCUGCCCUUUACUUGGGGAUACCCCGUUGAAAGACGGCCUAAUACCCGAUGUAAUUCAUUGAUGGCAUCAGAUAUGAAUAAAAGAUUUAUCGGUAAAGGAUGGGGAUGCGUCUGAUUAGCUUGUUGGUGAGGUAAAGGCUCACCAAGGCAACGAUCAGUAGGGGUUCUGAGAGGAAGGUCCCCCACAUUGGAACUGAGACACGGUCCAAACUCCUACGGGAGGCAGCAGUGAGGAAUAUUGGUCAAUGGGCGCAAGCCUGAACCAGCCAAGUAGCGUGCAGGAAGACGGCCCUAUGGGUUGUAAACUGCUUUUAUACGAGAAUAAUUUGAUACACGUGUGCGUUAUUGCAUGUAUCGUAUGAAUAAGGACCGGCUAAUUCCGUGCCAGCAGCCGCGGUAAUACGGAAGGUCCAGGCGUUAUCCGGAUUUAUUGGGUUUAAAGGGAGUGUAGGCGGUUUGUUAAGCGUGUUGUGAAAUUUAGGUGCUCAACAUUUAACUUGCAGCGCGAACUGUCAGACUUGAGUACACGCAACGUAUGCGGAAUUCAUGGUGUAGCGGUGAAAUGCUUAGAUAUCAUGAAGAACUCCGAUUGCGAAGGCAGCAUACGGGAGUGUAACUGACGCUUAAGCUCGAAGGUGCGGGUAUCGAACAGGAUUAGAUACCCUGGUAGUCCGCACAGUAAUCGAUGGAUGCCCGCUGUUAGCGCCUGGCGUUAGCGGCUAAGCGAAAGCAUUAAGCAUCCCACCUGGGGAGUACGCCGGCAACGGUGAAACUCAAAGGAAUUGACGGGGGCCCGCACAAGCGGAGGAACAUGUGGUU
This 922-nucleotide ribosomal RNA is filed under the name uncultured bacterium. RNAcentral describes it as "bacterial SSU rRNA". It matches the Rfam family "Bacterial small subunit ribosomal RNA", at positions 33 to 946 of the family's 1533-position model. The record is from RNAcentral.